RNAcentral lists this ribosomal RNA (274 nucleotides) under uncultured bacterium. RNAcentral's name for it is "partial 16S ribosomal RNA". It matches the Rfam family "Bacterial small subunit ribosomal RNA", at positions 523 to 796 of the family's 1533-position model. The record is from RNAcentral.
AUACGGAGGGUGCGAGCGUUAAUCGGAAUUACUGGGCGUAAAGCGUACGUAGGCGGUUGGUUAGGUUAGAUGUGAAAGCCCCGGGCUUAACCUGGGAACUGCAUUUAAAACUGGCGAACUAGAGUUGAGUAGAGGGGAGUGGAAUUUCAGGUGUAGCGGUGAAAUGCGUAGAGAUCUGAAGGAACACCAGUGGCGAAGGCGACUCCCUGGACUCGAACUGACGCUGAGGUACGAAAGCGUGGGUAGCAAACGGGAUUAGAAACCCGGGUAGUCC